RNAcentral lists this long non-coding RNA (264 nucleotides) under Brassica napus (rape). RNAcentral describes it as "long non-coding RNA (BNAP_LNC014319)". The record is from RNAcentral. Lineage: Eukaryota; Viridiplantae; Streptophyta; Magnoliopsida; Brassicales; Brassicaceae.
UGGCUCAUAACCAACAAGUCUUCCUAUCCUGACUUCUCUACAAGUUCAGUUUCAUACUCGUUCUCGUUCUUGUUGGAAUUAUAUUACGGCGUCUACUAGAACUCAAGUGCUUUCGUUUUACGGGACAUGUGAUGUGGGUGGUGGAUUAAGUAGUAGAAGUUGAAAUGUUUUUGUAUCAAGCUGUAUGGUUUCAUAAGAAGUAUUUUAUACGUUUAGUUUUGUCAAUGAUUCGGUAUAUUUUAAUAUGUGGUGGGUCAGAGAGAA